Molecule: transfer RNA, 69 nt
Filed under: Bacteroides fragilis
Lineage: Bacteria; Pseudomonadati; Bacteroidota; Bacteroidia; Bacteroidales; Bacteroidaceae
Also listed under: 7 other names
Description: tRNA-Val
Rfam family: tRNA
About the family: Transfer RNA (tRNA) molecules are approximately 80 nucleotides in length. Their secondary structure includes four short double-helical elements and three loops (D, anti-codon, and T loops).
Source: RNAcentral
UUAGCUCAGCUGGUUCAGAGCAUCUGCCUUACAAGCAGAGGGUCGGCGGUUCGAAUCCGUCAACGCCCA